Molecule: ribosomal RNA, 425 nt
Filed under: uncultured bacterium
Lineage: Bacteria
Description: partial 16S ribosomal RNA
Rfam family: Bacterial small subunit ribosomal RNA
Source: RNAcentral
GUGGGGAAUCUUAGACAAUGGGGGAAACCCUGAUCUAGCCAUGCCGCGUGAGCGAUGAAGGCCUUAGGGUUGUAAAGCUCUUUCAGCUGGGAAGAUAAUGACGGUACCAGCAGAAGAAGCCCCGGCUAACUCCGUGCCAGCAGCCGCGGUAAUACGGAGGGGGCUAGCGUUGUUCGGAAUUACUGGGCGUAAAGCGCGCGUAGGCGGACCAGAAAGUUGGAGGUGAAAUCCCAGGGCUCAACCUUGGAACUGCCUUCAAAACUUCUGGUCUGGAGUUCGAGAGAGGUGAGUGGAAUUCCGAGUGUAGAGGUGAAAUUCGUAGAUAUUCGGAGGAACACCAGUGGCGAAGGCGGCUCACUGGCUCGAUACUGACGCUGAGGUGCGAAAGCGUGGGGAGCAAACAGGAUUAGAUACCCCGGUAGUCC